This 302-nucleotide ribosomal RNA is filed under the name Ochromonas sp. CCMP1393. RNAcentral describes it as "partial Eukaryotic small subunit ribosomal RNA". It matches the Rfam family "Eukaryotic small subunit ribosomal RNA", at positions 1529 to 1830 of the family's 1831-position model. The record is from RNAcentral. Lineage: Eukaryota; Chrysophyceae; Chromulinales; Chromulinaceae.
UGCAUCGAGAGGUGUGGGCAAUCUGUUGAACCUGCGUCGUGAUGGGGAUAGAUUAUUGCAACUAUUAAUCUUCAACGAGGAAUUCCUAGUAAGCGCGAGUCAUCAGCUCGCGUUGACUACGUCCCUGCCCUUUGUACACACCGCCCGUCGCACCUACCGAUUGAAUGAUUCGGUGAAACUUUCGGACCGUGGCCUCGACACCUUCGGGCGACUUGGCCGUGGGAAGUUAUUUAAACCUCAUCAUUUAGAGGAAGGUGAAGUCGUAACAAGGUUUCCGUAGGUGAACCUGCGGAAGGAUCAUU